This 303-nucleotide ribosomal RNA is filed under the name uncultured bacterium. RNAcentral's name for it is "partial 16S ribosomal RNA". It matches the Rfam family "Bacterial small subunit ribosomal RNA", at positions 507 to 807 of the family's 1533-position model. The record is from RNAcentral.
AGCAGCCGCCGCGGUAAAACAGAGGGUGCGAGCGUUAAUCGGAUUUACUGGGCGUAAAGCGUGCGUAGGCGGCUAAUUGAGUCGGAUGUGAAAUCCCCGAGCUUAACUUGGGAAUUGCAUUCGAUACUGGUUAGCUAGAGUGUGGGAGAGGAUGGUAGAAUUCCAGGUGUAGCGGUGAAAUGCGUAGAGAUCUGGAGGAAUACCGAUGGCGAAGGCAGCAAUCUGGCCUAACACUGACGCUGAGGUACGAAAGCAUGGGGAGCAAACAGGAUUAGAUACCCCGGUAGUCCCUGUCUCUUAUAC